UGAGGAAUAUUGGUCAAUGGGCGAGAGCCUGAACCAGCCAAGUAGCGUGCAGGAAGACGGCCCUAUGGGUUGUAAACUGCUUUUAUGUGGGGAUAAAGUGCGUGACGUGUCAUGCAUUGCAGGUACCACAUGAAUAAGGACCGGCUAAUUCCGUGCCAGCAGCCGCGGUAAUACGGAAGGUCCGGGCGUUAUCCGGAUUUAUUGGGUUUAAAGGGAGCGUAGGCUGUCUAUUAAGCGUGUUGUGAAAUAUACCGGCUCAACCGGUGGCUUGCAGCGCGAACUGGCAGACUUGAGUGCGCACAACGUAGGCGGAAUUCAUGGUGUAGCGGUGAAAUGCUUAGAUAUCAUGACGAACUCCGAUUGCGAAGGCAGCUUACGGGAGCGCAACUGACGCUAAAGCUCGAAGGUGCGGGUAUCGAACAGG
This 424-nucleotide ribosomal RNA is filed under the name Verrucomicrobiota bacterium. RNAcentral describes it as "Verrucomicrobia bacterium partial 16S ribosomal RNA". It matches the Rfam family "Bacterial small subunit ribosomal RNA", at positions 355 to 776 of the family's 1533-position model. The record is from RNAcentral. Lineage: Bacteria; Pseudomonadati; Verrucomicrobiota.